GCAACCUUCUCUACCUUCUCUCUAAAACUUUCCCUUCUCUCUCUCUUCUCCCUCUCUUUUUCCUUUUCACCGAUCAAUGACUUCUCUCCCUCUUUUUUUCCUUUUCGUCGAUCGGUGACUUCUCUGCCUCUCUUUUUCUUUUCGUCGGUCGAUGACUUCUUUUUAUUCCAUACCGCUGCAGAUUGGUGGUCCUAAAUCCCAAAUCUCCCUUUCUUUGUUGUCGGCUCUCCUACAUUCUCCUUACCACCGU
RNAcentral lists this long non-coding RNA (250 nucleotides) under Theobroma cacao (cacao). RNAcentral's name for it is "long non-coding RNA (TCAC_LNC005190)". Lineage: Eukaryota; Viridiplantae; Streptophyta; Magnoliopsida; Malvales; Malvaceae. The record is from RNAcentral.